GAUGAAGAACGCAGCGAAAUGCGAUAAGUAGUGUGAAUUGCAGAAUUCAGUGAAUCAUCGAAUCUUUGAACGCACAUUGUGCCCCUUGGUAUUCCAUGGGGCAUGCCUGUUCGAGCGUCAUUUGUACCUUCAAGCUUUGCUUGGUGUUGGGUGUUUGUCUCGCCUCUGCGUGUAGACUCGCCUUAAAACAAUUGGCAGCCGGCGUAUUGAUUUCGGAGCGCAGUACAUCUCGCGCUUUGCACUCAUAACGACGACGUCCAAAAGUACAUUUUUACACUCUUGACCUCGGAUCAGGUAGGGAUACCCGCUGAACUUAAGCAUAUCAAUAAGCGGAGGA
Molecule: unclassified non-coding RNA, 337 nt
Filed under: soil metagenome
Description: partial contains 5.8S ribosomal RNA, internal transcribed spacer 2, and large subunit ribosomal RNA
Rfam family: 5.8S ribosomal RNA (bases 1-120)
Source: RNAcentral